CUAGACGCUGCCCCAGCUCUGAGAGCCAGAUGUGACAUAACCAGCUCCGUGUCCAAGGUCCCCAAGGAAACGGCAAAGAUGUAAUGACCACACUCAGGUGUAAACUCUGUAGCCGGGUUUCUAAACUAGAACCUACUGAUCGUGGGAUAAAAAUCAGGAAACGGUGAAGAUGUAAUAACCACACUCAGGUGUAAACUCUGCAGCCGGAUUUCUAAACUAGAAGCUACUGAUCAUGGGAUAAAAAUCAGGAAACGGUGAAGAUGUAAUCACCACACUCAGGUGUAAACUCUGCAGCCGGGUUCUAAACUAGAACCUACUGAUCA
This 323-nucleotide long non-coding RNA is filed under the name Homo sapiens (human). RNAcentral describes it as "non-protein coding LINC02280:12". The record is from RNAcentral. Lineage: Eukaryota; Metazoa; Chordata; Mammalia; Primates; Hominidae.